This 36-nucleotide transfer RNA is filed under the name Eriocheir sinensis (Chinese mitten crab). RNAcentral's name for it is "tRNA-Pro". Lineage: Eukaryota; Metazoa; Arthropoda; Malacostraca; Decapoda; Varunidae. The record is from RNAcentral.
UUGUAAACCAAUAAUGAAUUAUUUUCUAAAAACUUU